CCGGAUAAUAGUCGGGAGAGUUGUAAAUGUAAACAAGUUACGUGCUUUCUUCAGUGUUUACAGAUAUGGGAAUAACUCUCAAGAGCGGCGCGUAUCUCCAACGGUUUGCGGCAAAAUUAAAUCAGAAUAUACUUAAAAUCCGUAUAUUCCACCCGUUAGAUCGGGGUUAUGCUUUUCUUCGGUGUACCCAAAGUAUUUCCCCGGGUCAAAUCCUAAUAUCUCACCAAUACCACCUUUUGAAAACACAAUGUAGAGAAAUACUUGUGUUACAAUGCUAACUCUGCCGUUUUGCAUAUUUGUAAACGACGCUUUAUCCUUUAGCCCA
This 325-nucleotide long non-coding RNA is filed under the name Androctonus crassicauda. The record is from RNAcentral. Lineage: Eukaryota; Metazoa; Arthropoda; Arachnida; Scorpiones; Buthidae.